This 437-nucleotide ribosomal RNA is filed under the name uncultured bacterium. RNAcentral's name for it is "bacterial SSU rRNA". It matches the Rfam family "Bacterial small subunit ribosomal RNA", at positions 338 to 772 of the family's 1533-position model. The record is from RNAcentral.
CCUACGGGCGGCUGCAGUGAGGAAUAUUGGUCAAUGGACGAGAGUCUGAACCAGCCAAGUAGCGUGAAGGAUGACUGCCCUAUGGGUUGUAAACUUCUUUUAUAAGGGAAUAAAGUGAGGGACGUGUCCCUUUUUGUAUGUACCUUAUGAAUAAGGAUCGGCUAACUCCGUGCCAGCAGCCGCGGUAAUACGGAGGAUCCAAGCGUUAUCCGGAUUUAUUGGGUUUAAAGGGAGCGUAGGUUGACAUAUAAGUCAGCUGUGAAAGUUUACGGCUCAACCGUGAAAUUGCAGUUGAUACUGUAUGUCUUGAGUGUACAAGAGGUGGGCGGAAUUCGUGGUGUAGCGGUGAAAUGCUUAGAUAUCACGAAGAACUCCAAUUGCGAAGGCAGCUCACUGGGGUACAACUGACACUGAGGCUCGAAAGUGUGGGUAUCAAA